RNAcentral lists this ribosomal RNA (497 nucleotides) under uncultured bacterium. RNAcentral describes it as "partial 16S ribosomal RNA". It matches the Rfam family "Bacterial small subunit ribosomal RNA", at positions 28 to 507 of the family's 1533-position model. The record is from RNAcentral.
GAUGAACGCUGGCGGCGUGCCUAAUACAUGCAAGUCGAGCGAACAGACGAGGAGCUUGCUCCUCUGACGUUAGCGGCGGACGGGUGAGUAACACGUGGAUAACCUACUUAUAAUUCUGGGAUAAUUUCGGGAAACCGGAGCUAAUACCGGAUAAUAUAUUGAACCGCAUGGUUCAAUAGUGCAUGACGGCUUUGCUGUCACUUAUAGAUGGAUCCGCGCCGCAUUAGCUAGUUGGUAAGGUAACGGCCUACCAAGGCAACGAUGCGUAGCCGACCUGAGAGGGUGAUCGGCCACACUGGAACUGAGACACGGUCCAGACUCCUACGGGAGGCAGCAGUAGGGAAUCUUCCGCAAUGGGCGAAAGCCUGACGGAGCAACACCGCGUGGGUGAUGAAGGUCUUCGGAUCGUAAAGCUCUGUUAUUAGGGAAGAACAGAUGUGUAAGUAACUAUGGACGUCUUGACGGUACCUAAUCAGAAAGCCACGGCUAACUACGUG